AUGCAGGCGACGGAUGGCGGGGUGGCGCAGCAUAAGAAUCCAAACAAGGCCUCAGGAGAUGCAUCUAAUACCAGGGAAAGAAGUACAUAUUUAAUACUAAUAGAUUACAGCAGCAGAAGGAAAUUACUGUCAUCCGAAACAAAGCAGAAAAUAAUAAUUGAAAUCAGCAUUGAAACAACAGAUGAACUAACCAGCAAAGAGGCUAUUCUCCGCAAUGCACUCGGUGUAACUGAAGUUUACACGUUGAAAAUGGGGCAAGAAAUUAGCCCAUUAGUUCAAUUUUCAAGUGUUCUGAAGAUGAAAGCUGCCCAUACUGUGAGUGACCGGAAUGCGCAAUCGUAUCGCCAGCACGCUAAGAAUAUUGAAAAUACAUCAUCGAGUAACAAAACGGAGAAAUCACAGCAGAAAUGA
Molecule: ribosomal RNA, 411 nt
Filed under: Triticum aestivum (bread wheat)
Lineage: Eukaryota; Viridiplantae; Streptophyta; Magnoliopsida; Poales; Poaceae
Description: partial small subunit ribosomal RNA
Source: RNAcentral